Molecule: transfer RNA, 114 nt
Filed under: Xylariaceae sp. FL1651
Lineage: Eukaryota; Fungi; Ascomycota; Sordariomycetes; Xylariales; Xylariaceae
Description: tRNA-Asp
Rfam family: tRNA
About the family: Transfer RNA (tRNA) molecules are approximately 80 nucleotides in length. Their secondary structure includes four short double-helical elements and three loops (D, anti-codon, and T loops). Further hydrogen bonds mediate the characteristic L-shaped molecular structure. tRNAs have two regions of fundamental functional importance: the anti-codon, which is responsible for specific mRNA codon recognition, and the 3' end, to which the tRNAs corresponding amino acid is attached (by aminoacyl-tRNA synthetases). tRNAs cope with the degeneracy of the genetic code in two manners: having more than one tRNA (with a specific anti-codon) for a particular amino acid; and 'wobble' base-pairing, i.e. permitting non-standard base-pairing at the 3rd anti-codon position.
Source: RNAcentral
UCUCGAUUGGUCUAGUGGUUAGGAUACCUGCUUGUCAAAUGAUGUUGGCGUUUAUUCGUUUGCUGUCGUUGCCACAAUGCGCAGGUGGCCGGGGUUCGAUUCCCCGAUCGAGAG